This 447-nucleotide ribosomal RNA is filed under the name Triticum aestivum (bread wheat). RNAcentral describes it as "partial small subunit ribosomal RNA". The record is from RNAcentral. Lineage: Eukaryota; Viridiplantae; Streptophyta; Magnoliopsida; Poales; Poaceae.
UUUGGGAAUAGCAUAGAGGUACUUGUAAUUGUGUGGUUAGAAAGAGAAAUAUCUGCGUUGAUACAACAACGUAUUGGUCCUGAAUAUGCUGCCCCCCUGGCCCUGCUUCAAGCUAUAGCAGAUGGGACUAAGCUACUUUUUAAAGAAGAUAUUCUGCCAUCCCGAGGAGAUAUUUUUUUAUUUAGCAUUGGACCCUCUGCAGUCAUAUCAGUUUUAUUAAGUUUUUUAGUUAUCCCUUUGGGAUAUCAUUUUGUUUUAGCCGAUCUUAGCAUUGGUGUUUUUUAUGGAUUGCCAUUUCAAGUAUAGCUCCUAUUGGUCUUCUUAUGGCAGGAUAUAGUCAUUUGGAAGCUAAAUAUGGAUUACACAAGACAAACUAAUUGCGAUAUUUGGCUUCUUGUUGUCGAUGUUCCUGAUUUUUGGCUUGUUUACCCACAAGACAUAUACUGA